Long non-coding RNA from Fukomys damarensis (Damara mole-rat), 413 nucleotides. RefSeq lists it as uncharacterized. The transcript is spliced from 3 exons. NCBI's taxonomy places the organism in Eukaryota, Metazoa, Chordata, Mammalia, Rodentia, Bathyergidae. The record is from RefSeq and is a predicted model, not a curated record.
CAGCUCUUUGCCACGGCAUCUGACCUCCAGCCAGCCCCAGCCUGUGGCCAGGAAGAAGGAAAAAAAUACUAAUUUUGAAAGUGCUGGCUUUCCAGUGCAAGUGCGAAGCACAUGAGGAAAUGAGAGUCUUUCCGGACUCCAUGGAGUAGGCACCGUGGAAGACUGCAGCAGAGCGGCAGCAGCUUACCUCCCCUAGAGGAGAGGUUCGAGGGAAAUCACAGAAGAGAAGGAAGUUAUAGCAGGAGCAGAACAGAUGAAGCAUCUACCUCCAUCACCACCACCCUCCAUGAAGCUCAGAGUGCAUUGGAAAGUUAUCCAUUAAACAGUGGGUGUCCCUCAACAAACCUGACUAUUCAGCAAGCUUGCCAGGUUGUUCUACCAGUUCCAUGGCACUCGGAAUGUGGCAGAGAGUC